RNAcentral lists this ribosomal RNA (392 nucleotides) under Enterobacter sp. VC46. Its description in RNAcentral is "partial 16S ribosomal RNA". It matches the Rfam family "Bacterial small subunit ribosomal RNA", at positions 958 to 1355 of the family's 1533-position model. The record is from RNAcentral. Lineage: Bacteria; Pseudomonadati; Pseudomonadota; Gammaproteobacteria; Enterobacterales; Enterobacteriaceae.
AACGCGAAGAMCCUUMCCUGGUCUUGACAUCCACGGAAUUUGGCAGAGAUGCCUUAGUSCCUUCGGGAACCGUGAGACAGGUGCUGCAUGGCUGUCGUCAGCUCGUGUUGUGAAAUGUUGGGUUAAGUCCCGCAACGAGCGCAACCCUUAUCCUUUGUUGCCAGCGGUCCGGCCGGGMACUCAAAGGAGACUGCCAGUGAUAAACYGGAGGAAGGUGGGGAUGACGUCAAGUCAUCAUGGCCCUUACGRCCAGGGCUACACACGUGCUACAAUGKCMSUUUCAAAGRGAMSCSACCUCGCGAGAGCAAGCKGACCUCAUCCGCUUCUAGUCCGGAUYGSASUCUSCAMCUCGACUCCAUGAAGUCGGAAUCGCUAGUAAUCGGGAUCAGAAU